RNAcentral lists this transfer RNA (72 nucleotides) under Alkalinema sp. CAN_BIN05. Its description in RNAcentral is "tRNA-Gly". It matches the Rfam family "tRNA". From Rfam's summary of the family: Transfer RNA (tRNA) molecules are approximately 80 nucleotides in length. The record is from RNAcentral. Lineage: Bacteria; Bacillati; Cyanobacteriota; Cyanophyceae; Leptolyngbyales; Leptolyngbyaceae.
GCGGGCGUAGCUCAGUGGUAGAGCGUCACCUUGCCAAGGUGAAAGUCGUGGGUUCGAAUCCCAUCGCCCGCU